RNAcentral lists this ribosomal RNA (433 nucleotides) under uncultured bacterium. Its description in RNAcentral is "partial 16S ribosomal RNA". It matches the Rfam family "Bacterial small subunit ribosomal RNA", at positions 29 to 507 of the family's 1533-position model. The record is from RNAcentral.
AACGAACGCUGGCGGCAUGCCUAACACAUGCAAGUCGAACGAGACCUUCGGGUCUAGUGGCGCACGGGUGCGUAACGCGUGGGAACCUGCCCUUAGGUUCGGAAUAACUCCCCGAAAGGGGUGCUAAUACCGGAUAAUGUCUUCGGACCAAAGAUUUAUCGCCUUUGGAUGGGCCCGCGUUGGAUUAGCUAGUUGGUAGGGUAAAAGCCUACCAAGGCGACGAUCCAUAGCUGGUCUGAGAGGAUGAUCAGCCACACUGGGACUGAGACACGGCCCAGACUCCUACGGGAGGCAGCAGUGGGGAAUAUUGGACAAUGGGCGAAAGCCUGAUCCAGCAAUGCCGCGUGAGUGAUGAAGGCCUCAGGGUUGUAAAGCUCUUUUACCCGGGAUGAUAAUGACAGUACCGGGAGAAUAAGCUCCGACUAACUCCGUG